RNAcentral lists this ribosomal RNA (352 nucleotides) under uncultured Desulfobulbus sp. Its description in RNAcentral is "bacterial SSU rRNA". It matches the Rfam family "Bacterial small subunit ribosomal RNA", at positions 1029 to 1382 of the family's 1533-position model. Lineage: Bacteria; Pseudomonadati; Thermodesulfobacteriota; Desulfobulbia; Desulfobulbales; Desulfobulbaceae. The record is from RNAcentral.
GGGAGACAGGUGGUGCAUGGUUGUCGUCAGCUCGUGUCGUGAGAUGUUGGGUUAAGUCCCGCAACGAGCGCAACCCUGCCUUUAGUUGCCAGCAGUUCGGCUGGGCACUCUAAAGGGACUGCCGGUGUUAAACCGGAGGAAGGUGGGGAUGACGUCAAGUCCUCAUGGCCUUUAUGACCAGGGCUACACACGUACUACAAUGGCCGAUACAAAGGGCAGCGACACUGCGAGGUGAAGCCAAUCCCGUAAAAUCGGUCUCAGUCCGGAUUGGAGUCUGCAACUCGACUCCAUGAAGUUGGAAUCGCUAGUAAUCGUGGAUCAGCAUGCCACGGUGAAUACGUUCCCGGGCCUU